GAUGAAGAACGCAGUGAAAUGCGAUAAGUAAUGUGAAUUGCAGAAUUCAGUGAAUCAUCGAAUCUUUGAACGCACAUUGCGCCCCCUGGUAUUCCGGGGGGCAUGCCUGUCCGAGCGUCAUUACAACCCUCAAGCUCAGCUUGGUGUUGGGCCCCGCCGCCCCGGCGGGCCCUAAAGUCAGUGGCGGUGCCGUCCGGCUCCGAGCGUAGUAAUUCUUCUCGCUCUGGAGGUCCGGUCGUGUGCUUGCCAGCAACCCCCAAUUUUUUUCAGGUUGACCUCGGAUCAGGUAGGGAUACCCGCUGAACUUAAGCAUAUCAAUAAGCGGAGGA
Molecule: unclassified non-coding RNA, 329 nt
Filed under: soil metagenome
Description: partial contains 5.8S ribosomal RNA, internal transcribed spacer 2, and large subunit ribosomal RNA
Rfam family: 5.8S ribosomal RNA (bases 1-120)
Source: RNAcentral